This 362-nucleotide ribosomal RNA is filed under the name uncultured Pelotomaculum sp. RNAcentral describes it as "bacterial SSU rRNA". It matches the Rfam family "Bacterial small subunit ribosomal RNA", at positions 1019 to 1382 of the family's 1533-position model. The record is from RNAcentral. Lineage: Bacteria; Bacillati; Bacillota; Clostridia; Eubacteriales; Desulfotomaculaceae.
UCGGGUGACAGGGAGACAGGUGGUGCAUGGUUGUCGUCAGCUCGUGUCGUGAGAUGUUGGGUUAAGUCCCGCAACGAGCGCAACCCCUACGUUUAGUUGCUAACGCGUGAAGGCGAGCACUCUAGACGAACUGCCGUUGACAAAACGGAGGAAGGUGGGAUGACGUCAAAUCAUCAUGCCCUUAUGUUCUGGGCUACACACGUGCUACAAUGGCCGGUACAGACGGACGCAAAGCCGCGAGGUGGAGCAAAUCCUAAAAAGCCGGUCUCAGUUCGGAUUGCAGGCUGCAAUUCGCCUGCAUGAAGUCGGAAUCGCUAGUAAUCGCAGGUCAGCAUACUGCGGUGAAUACGUUCCCGGGGCUU